RNAcentral lists this ribosomal RNA (575 nucleotides) under Pseudocercospora wedeliae. RNAcentral's name for it is "eukaryotic LSU rRNA". The stretch from base 216 to 369 matches the Rfam family "5.8S ribosomal RNA". Lineage: Eukaryota; Fungi; Ascomycota; Dothideomycetes; Mycosphaerellales; Mycosphaerellaceae. The record is from RNAcentral.
UCUUGGUCAUUUAGAGGAAGUAAAAGUCGUAACAAGGUCUCCGUAGGUGAACCUGCGGAGGGAUCAUUACUGAGUGAGGGCUCACGCCCGACCUCCAACCCUUUGUGAACACAUCUUGUUGCUUCGGGGCGACCCUGCCGGCACUACGUCGCCGGGCGCCCCCGAAGGUCUCCAAACACUGCAUCUUUGCGUCGGAGUUUGAACAAAUUAAACAAAACUUUCAACAACGGAUCUCUUGGUUCUGGCAUCGAUGAAGAACGCAGCGAAAUGCGAUAAGUAAUGUGAAUUGCAGAAUUCAGUGAAUCAUCGAAUCUUUGAACGCACAUUGCGCCCUUUGGUAUUCCGAAGGGCAUGCCUGUUCGAGCGUCAUUUCACCACUCAAGCCUGGCUUGGUAUUGGGCGUCGCGGCUCCGCGCGCCUUAAAGUCUCCGGCUGAGCCAUUCGUCUCUAAGCGUUGUGGAUUUUCUAAUUCGCUUCGGAGUGCGGUUGGCCGCGGCCGUUAAAUCUUCUCAAGGUUGACCUCGGAUCAGGUAGGGAUACCCGCUGAACUUAAGCAUAUCAAUAAGCCGGAGGAA